Molecule: ribosomal RNA, 237 nt
Filed under: uncultured Actinomycetales bacterium
Lineage: Bacteria; Bacillati; Actinomycetota; Actinomycetes; Actinomycetales
Description: partial 16S ribosomal RNA
Rfam family: Bacterial small subunit ribosomal RNA
Source: RNAcentral
UGGCGAACGGGUGAGUAACACGUGAGUAACCUGCCCUUGACUUUGGGAUAACUUCAGGAAACUGGGGCUGAUACCGGAUAGGAGCUCCUGCUGCAUGGUGGGGGUUGGAAAGUUUCGGCGGUUGGGGAUGGACUCGCGGCUUAUCAGCUUGUUGGUGGGGUAGUGGCUUACCAAGGCUUUGACGGGUAGCCGGCCUGAGAGGGUGACCGGCCACAUUGGGACUGAGAUACGGCCCAU